RNAcentral lists this ribosomal RNA (547 nucleotides) under uncultured bacterium. Its description in RNAcentral is "bacterial SSU rRNA". It matches the Rfam family "Bacterial small subunit ribosomal RNA", at positions 774 to 1306 of the family's 1533-position model. The record is from RNAcentral.
AGUGAAUAGAUACCCGGGUAGUCCACGCCGUAAACGAUGCCUACUAGGUCGUAGAACCUCUGACGGUUUUAUGGCCGAAAGCAAAAAAAGUGUUAAAGUAGGCCGCCUGGGGAGUACGGUCGCAAGGCUAAAACUCAAAGGAAUUGACGGGGGCUCACACAAGCGGUGGAGCAUGUGGAUUAAUUCGAAGCAACGCGCAGAACCUUACCUGGGUUUGACAUGGUUGGAUGCCUUAUUGGAAACAGUGUAGGCUGCCCGCAAGGGUGAAACUUUCACAGGUGCUGCAUGGCUGUCGUCAGCUCGUGUCGUGAGAUGUCGGGUUAAGUCCCUUAACGAGCGAAACCCUUGUCAUUAGUUACCAUCAGGUUAUGCUGGGAACUCUAACGAGACUGCCGGUGUUAAACCGGAGGAAGGUGGGGAUGACGUCAAGUCCUCAUGGCCUUUAUGCCCAGGGCUUCACACGUGCUACAAUGGCGAGUACAGAGCGAUGCAAGACCGCGAGGUGGAGCAAAUCGCACAAAAGUCGCCCCAGUUCGGAUUGUAGGCU